GCAGCGGUCAGGCUUUGUCGCUGGCAUCCAUUAGGGUGCGAGAGGAAAGUCCGGGCAGCAUAGGGGCUCCACUUCCGAAACUAGAAGCUAUUGGUGACAGUAGGCUAAGGUAGAAGAAAAUAACCGCCUAUCUUUCAUGGUAGGUAAGGGUGAGAAGGUGGUGUAAGAGACCACCAGCCAAUGGGUGAUCAUUUGGGCUGUAUCUGCUGGAGGCUGCAAGUUCAUGUAUACCAUCGUUGGAGGGUUCCCGCCCGAUACACCCUUUGAGGAGUAACGAUGGAGGGUAGAACGCUUGAGUUGCAGGGCGACUUGCAAACUAGAUAGAUGACAGAGCACCUGCGUUCUUGCAACGUAGGAAACAGAACCCGGCUUACGUGACCGCUGCCUUG
Molecule: RNase P RNA, 389 nt
Filed under: Prevotella sp.
Lineage: Bacteria; Pseudomonadati; Bacteroidota; Bacteroidia; Bacteroidales; Prevotellaceae
Also listed under: 1 other name
Description: RNase P RNA component class A
Rfam family: Bacterial RNase P class A
About the family: Ribonuclease P (RNase P) is a ubiquitous endoribonuclease, found in archaea, bacteria and eukarya as well as chloroplasts and mitochondria. Its best characterised activity is the generation of mature 5'-ends of tRNAs by cleaving the 5'-leader elements of precursor-tRNAs.
Source: RNAcentral